AGAGUUUGAUCAUGGCUCAGGACGAACGCUGGCGGCGUGCUUAACACAUGCAAGUCGAACGGAAAGGCCCAGCUUGCUGGGUACUCGAGUGGCGAACGGGUGAGUAACACGUGGGUGAUCUGCCCUGAACUUUGGGAUAAGCCUGGGAAACUGGGUCUAAUACCGGAUAUGACCUUGGAGUGCAUGCUCUGGGGUGGAAAGCUUUUGCGGUUCAGGAUGGGCCCGCGGCCUAUCAGCUUGUUGGUGGGGUAAUGGCCUACCAAGGCGACGACGGGUAGCCGACCUGAGAGGGUGAUCGGCCACACUGGGACUGAGACACGGCCCAGACUCCUACGGGAGGCAGCAGUGGGGAAUAUUGCACAAUGGGCGCAAGCCUGAUGCAGCGACGCCGCGUGAGGGAUGACGGCCUUCGGGUUGUAAACUUCUUUCACCAGGGACGAAGCGCAAGUGACGGUACCUGGAGAAGAAGCACCGGCCAACUA
Molecule: ribosomal RNA, 482 nt
Filed under: marine bacterium B250-17a
Lineage: Bacteria
Description: SSU rRNA
Rfam family: Bacterial small subunit ribosomal RNA
Source: RNAcentral